Oryza sativa Japonica Group (Japanese rice) is the source of this 1809-nucleotide non-coding RNA. The record is from RefSeq and is a predicted model, not a curated record. NCBI's taxonomy places the organism in Eukaryota, Viridiplantae, Streptophyta, Magnoliopsida, Poales, Poaceae.
UGCAUCUAUUUUUGGAACCACAGAUUUCGCUCUUAGAAGGCCAUAUUCCGUUGAUUCAAAACUUUUUUUUAUGUGCAGCCUGCAUUUAUUUUUGGAAGCAUAAACGAAAGGAUCACAUAUGUAUGUCUGUUUGCUAAUUAAUACCUUUUCCUGCAAAUACACAUACACCACUUGGAUGUAGAUACCCAUUCUGCCUUGCUUUACAUGUUAAUUAACUUGAUUGGGUAAAUGUUUACUGCAUUGAUCGACCGGUAUCUCAAAGUACAAUCAGUAAGUGACUGAAGCUAAUUCAUUAGCUUUUUAUGUCUAUAUAUGAUCAUAAAAAUAUCUGUAGAGUGCAUCAGACAAGCAAAAAGUAUAUGGCAAGUGAUAGCACAUUUCUUAGGGAAGGGAUUUAUGAGUUCAAUGUCAAAAUCCUCUCUAUCAGUUGCCUCGCAUUUUUAACUUACCUAGGUUGCUUCCCUAUUUUUUGCUACAUAAGAACUAUAUGUAUGUCACCACAUCAGAGUUAUUUAUAUUCACAUGUUAUAUUCUAAAUCCAUAUGUUGUUGAGAUGUGUUCUUUAAUUGAUCUCUUCAUCUCUAUGCAGAGUAUCCUAUCAUAACAUUAACAAUGUUAGAUCAUACUUUUAGUGGGUGUUGCAUGAAGUUAUUAUUAUCAAAGCUGUUGAAGGUCGAAAAAGACAUGGAUGGAUUGGAUCCAUCACGGAAAGCUGAUUUCCUGUUAAUAUCUGAGACGAACGUAAAUUUCUUUUGAAGGUACAUUUCAAUUUAGUUUGUGCAUCAACUGUUCAAUGGGAAUGCUUUGCUAGACAUAUCCUAACCGCUACGAUGCAAAGGUAAAGCAAUAUCAUGAGUCCAUUUUUUUUUAUAUUUUGUCUUUCAGUUGGUUUGCUUUUACAUGUCUGUGCUCAGAUAGAUUAUUUCACUGUUUAGUUCACCAGUCUAUUUUACACAUGUUUUUUUCAUUAUUUGUGAAAGCACACUUUUAAAUCCUAAAAGUUGUGCAGUCGAUCUGUUUCGUCAAACUGUAGUGUAGCCUGCUGCCACUGUGCUUUUACAAGCUCUUUGUUUCCGCGUUGUAUAUUUUGCCGGCUACUUAAAAGGAACAGGGAAGAAAAAAAUGGAACCUAACCUGAAGAAGUAUAUAUGCAUUGUAGAACUAUAAGGCUUAUGUUAUUGCAUCCAUACUUUGGUUAAGUGAUUAUGCAUGCUUUCGCUCAUAAACUUUGCCACGUGGCCACAUGGUAGCAGCACUUUGUACUACUCCACUCCAAAAAAGAUAGAACUUUUGGUAGAAAAAUUGGUUGCAUGUGUUUAGAAUUGUGAUGCCAAGCGAAAAUAUUAUCUCUCUAUAUAAGUGGUUGAUACUAUACUGUUUUAGCUGUACUAACAUUACUAUUAAAACUUUCUACUACCUUUGUCCCAAAAUGUAAAAACUUCUGGCCCUAUAUCUUGAAAGGUAUGUUUAGGUACACUGCUCAAAAUUGCGAUAUAUUUUGGGACGGAGGUAGUAUACUUUUUUUUUAGGUUUACCGAUGUCACUAACCGCACGUAACGGAGGAUUGUUGUUGACUAGGGCACUUGCAUGUUGCACUUAAAAAACAUCAUUUUCUAUCUGUUCAUUUUAGCUUUGCAUAUGUUUAAUAUGGACCACCAGUAGGCAUUUAGGUCUUAUGUUUUUAGCAUCCAAUAGUCCUAUGUGAUUCUAGCGUAUAGAGAAAAAAAGGGGUAGCAUUGAAACCUCUGUAAACUCAUUGUAAUUGACAUGUAAUUUGCCCCUUUUUUCUAUUUAUUCAAACUUCCGAUA